GGGCCUAUAGCUCAGUUGGUUAGAGCACUGGACUCAUAAUCCAUUGGUCGAAGGUUCGAGUCCUUCUGGGCCCACCA
Molecule: transfer RNA, 77 nt
Filed under: bacterium
Lineage: Bacteria
Also listed under: 4 other names
Description: tRNA-Ile
Rfam family: tRNA
About the family: Transfer RNA (tRNA) molecules are approximately 80 nucleotides in length.
Source: RNAcentral